RNAcentral lists this ribosomal RNA (219 nucleotides) under uncultured bacterium. RNAcentral's name for it is "partial 16S ribosomal RNA". It matches the Rfam family "Bacterial small subunit ribosomal RNA", at positions 122 to 334 of the family's 1533-position model. The record is from RNAcentral.
UAACCUACCUCAUAGUGGGGGAUAACAGUCGGAAACGACUGCUAAUACCGCAUAGGACAUAGGAUCACAUGAUCCAGUGAGGAAAGGUGGCGCAAGCUAUCGCUAAGAGAUGGACCCGCGGUGCAUUAGCUAGUUGGUAGGGUAACGGCCUACCAAGGCGAUGAUGCAUAGCCGACCUGAGAGGGUGAUCGGCCACAUUGGGACUGAGACACGGCCCAA